This 372-nucleotide ribosomal RNA is filed under the name uncultured organism. RNAcentral describes it as "partial 16S ribosomal RNA". It matches the Rfam family "Bacterial small subunit ribosomal RNA", at positions 527 to 896 of the family's 1533-position model. The record is from RNAcentral.
GUAGGUGGCAAGCGUUGUCCGGAAUUAUUGGGCGUAAAGCGCGCGCAGGCGGUCCUUUAAGUCUGAUGUGAAAGCCCGCGGCUCAACCGUGGAGGGUCAUUGGAAACUGGGGGGACUUGAGUACAGAAGAGGAAAGCGGAAUUCCAAGUGUAGCGGUGAAAUGCGUAGAGAUUUGGAGGAACACCAGUGGCGAAGGCGGCUUUCUGGUCUGUAACUGACGCUGAGGCGCGAAAGCGUGGGGAGCAAACAGGGAUUAGAUACCCUGGUAGUCCACGCCGUAAACGAUGAUGCUAAGUGUUAGGGGGUUUCCGCCCCCUUAGUGCUGCAGCUAACGCAUUAAGCACUCCGCCUGGGGAUACGGCCGCAAGGCUG